RNAcentral lists this ribosomal RNA (407 nucleotides) under uncultured bacterium. RNAcentral describes it as "partial 16S ribosomal RNA". It matches the Rfam family "Bacterial small subunit ribosomal RNA", at positions 30 to 526 of the family's 1533-position model. The record is from RNAcentral.
AUUGAACGCUGGCGGCAGGCCUAACACAUGCAAGUCGAGCGGAGCGGCGGACGGGUGAGUAAUGCCUAGGAAUCUGCCUGGUCGCUGGGGAUAACGUCCGGAAACGGGCGCUAAUAUCGUCUACUAUCAGAUGAGCCUAGGUCGGUUUAGCUCGGUGGAGGGGUAAAGGCCUACCAAGGCGACGAUCCGUAACUGGUCUGAGAGGAUGAUCAGUCACAAUGGAAAUGAGACACGGUCCAGACUCCUACGGGAGGCAGCAGUGGGGAAGAUUAGACAAUGGGCGAAAGCCUGAUGCAGCCAUGCCGCGUGUGUGAAGAAGGUCUUCGGAUUGUAAAGCAAUUUGAGUUGGGAGGCGUUACCAACAGAAUAAGCACCGGCUAACUUCGUGCCAGCAGCCGCGGUAAUAC